This 21-nucleotide microRNA is filed under the name Physcomitrium patens. Its description in RNAcentral is "ppt-miR533b-5p". Its record names the gene ppt-miR533b-5p. The record is from miRBase by way of RNAcentral. Lineage: Eukaryota; Viridiplantae; Streptophyta; Bryopsida; Funariales; Funariaceae.
GAGCUGUCCAGGCUGUGAGGG